AUUGAACGCUGGCGGCAUGCCUUACACAUGCAAGUCGAACGGCAGCACGGGGGCAACCUUGGUGGCGAGUGGCGAACGGGUGAGUAAUGCAUCGGAACGUGCCCAGUAGUGGGGGAUAACUAGUCGAAAGAUUAGCUAAUACCGCAUACGACCUAUGGGUGAAAGCGGGGGAUUCGCAAGAACCUCGCGCUAUCGGAGCGGCCGAUGUCUGAUUAGCUAGUUGGCGGGGUAAAAGCCCACCAAGGCGACGAUCAGUAGCUGGUCUGAGAGGACGACCAGCCACACUGGGACUGAGACACGGCCCAGACUCCUACGGGAGGCAGCAGUGGGGAAUUUGGACAAUGGGCGCAAGCCUGAUCCAGCCAUGCCGCGUGCGGGAAGAAGGCC
Molecule: ribosomal RNA, 387 nt
Filed under: uncultured bacterium
Lineage: Bacteria
Description: bacterial SSU rRNA
Rfam family: Bacterial small subunit ribosomal RNA
Source: RNAcentral